This 142-nucleotide non-coding RNA is filed under the name Marinobacterium aestuarii. Its description in RNAcentral is "Marinobacterium sp. ST58-10 TPP riboswitch aptamer (THI element)". It matches the Rfam family "TPP riboswitch aptamer (THI element)". Rfam says of the family: Vitamin B(1) in its active form thiamin pyrophosphate (TPP) is an essential coenzyme that is synthesised by coupling of pyrimidine and thiazole moieties in bacteria. The record is from Rfam by way of RNAcentral. Lineage: Bacteria; Pseudomonadati; Pseudomonadota; Gammaproteobacteria; Oceanospirillales; Oceanospirillaceae. RNAcentral also lists the same sequence under 1 other name.
GCCUUCUUGUCGGGGUGCCUUAAAAAGCACCGAGCGCAUAUCGGUUCGCCGAUGUUCUGCUCGGUCAUUUGAGGGGCUGAGAUCAAACCCGUUGAACCUGAUCCGGUUAGUACCGGUGUAGGAAACCGAGAUAUGUCCCAUA